This 253-nucleotide ribosomal RNA is filed under the name uncultured bacterium. RNAcentral's name for it is "partial 16S ribosomal RNA". It matches the Rfam family "Bacterial small subunit ribosomal RNA", at positions 524 to 776 of the family's 1533-position model. The record is from RNAcentral.
UACGGAGGGUGCGAGCGUUAAUCGGAAUUACUGGGCGUAAAGCGCGCGUAGGCGGCUUGGUAAGUCGGAUGUGAAAGCCCCGGGCUUAACCCGGGAACUGCAUUCGAUACUGCCUGGCUAGAGUAUGGUAGAGGGUGGUGGAAUUCCUGGUGUAGCGGUGAAAUGCGUAGAUAUCAGGAGGAACAUCAGUGGCGAAGGCGGCUACCUGGACCAAUACUGACGCUGAGGUGCGAAAGCGUGGGGAGCAAACAGG